GGAAUUUACUUUUAUGUUUUCCUCCGUACUUUUAGAUUUUUCUUUCUAUUUUAUCUUUACCUUUAAACCGCUUCAACUCUUGCGUGCCUUACUGUUGCGUCCUUUCCGUUGCCCCCCUUCGGAAACUACCUAUAAAAACUAGGCAAAUUAUAUCCCUUGCUGUCUCUUCUUCUUCGUCACAAAUUUCGUCCCUAAUUUCUAUAGAACUUUGCCAAUUUCUAAUUGGAAGUUCUAUUUUGAAUCUUCAAUGUAAAAAAAAAUGAAACCAAAAUAUAAUUUCCUCGUAGUUUUUCCUCCAUUCACCACGUAAAAAGAAAAACUAUUUCAACUGCUCAAAGAAUGGCCGCAAAUACUUCAAGAAGGUGAAGAAUACUCAAGAAGCCCAUGAAGCUAUUAGACCCACUGAUAUCCGUAGGCUACCCUCAAAGCUAUACUUAUGCAGCCACAAUAAAAGUGUUAGAAGGAUAGAAAUUAUGUCACUACCAAAGGCAGAACACUGUAUCCUUAAUUUCGUGGGCGUAUGGUAUCAACAUUUCUCUAUGAUUACUUUACUGAAGUAAUAGAUUAUAGCUUCACUGUCGAUAUGAAAACGGAACUUGAUAAUGUCUCUCCUGGUUUGACUGAAUGGAAAGGCUUUUUGAGAGAUUACUGGACUAGAUUUAGCAAGUAUUGUGAACAUACCAAUAGUGUGCACAUUCAUCAGGUGGAGAAGAUGUUGGAGAAAACGUUUGGUGAUUUUCCAUUUGCAUCUCUUCCUUAUGAAAGUAGGACAUGCCCAAGCUGUCUUCAGGGAACUUUAAUCUUCAAAGUGAGCAGGUUUGGUGCAGGCUACUCUAUAGUUGUGACCAACACCCAAAAUGCAAGUAUAUUGCCAAGAUAUUAUAUGGUGAAGUGGAUAAAGAAUCACCUCUGAAGAGCCACCGAAAUUGCGGGUGUCCAUCCUUCUUCAAAUGAGAAGAGAUCCUGCUAUGGUACCGAAAGAAGAAAAGAUGACUUAUAUUUCAAUCUCUCAAUUGAACCCAUCGUAAGCUUCGAAAACUACACUUCAUUUACUUAUUUUACUUUAUUUUCAGUUGUGUUCUUCCAUCAAGAAAUAUGCAGUGUUUAAACUUUUCCUUUCUGGACAUAAUUGUUCCUUAUAUGACCUUUUCGAGACAAAAACCUAUAGUAUCUUGCCAGAGUUCACAAAUAGUGCAUAACGAUAUUUCUAUUUUAUUAUAAGUUGAGAAUUAGGUACUUGCUAUAAUGAAAUUUCUCAAAGUUUUAUUUUCUAUUUGUCAUGAAAAUAGUUGAGUCACUCUCACUUCUAUUUGUGACUGAUUUGAUAGUUUCACAUUUGAUUGCGGGAGAAACUUAGUAUUUAGUUGAAAUCGGUAUUCUCUAUGUCCGCAUGUCUGGAAGGAUGAGGGGCUAUAUUCUUGCCUCUUAGUUUGUUAGAAUUCAACUUUAAAAUUUUGAUCUAUAGUGUGUCAAUUGCAUAUUCAUCUUGCUACUUCAUUUUUAGACAAAUUAAUUAGUGGGCAAUUCUAAGGAAUAACUGAUUCUACGAAAAGGUUAACUUUAAAUUUAGUAUUUUUUUCUUUCCGACGGAAUCAAUUAAGCAGACAUGAAUCUAAUUUCCUCUAUACUUAGGUUGCGAAUGAGACACUUAGGAUGUCUGGAUGUCCUAUUGUGGUACUCUCGAGUUGCAGUCAAUGGCUGCAAAAUUAAAUGCAAGUUUGUUCUUAGCACAUUGCUCCAUUGUUAUCCAUUGUUUUUGAGACCGCAAUAGCCUUUUUUUUUCCUUUGAACUAACAAAAAAGAAAAUGAAAAUAAUGGCUCAAUUUGAUGGGACCUUCCUUAGGAAAUUACUAAAAUAAUGGUGCAAUAUACGUUAAACAUUCAUCUGUCAAUUAAACUUUCCUCAAUGUUUAUGGCAUGUAUUGAAGGAAGGAUAGCAUGCCAACAUAGAAUACAGUAUGCAUUGGCAUCAUACAAGGAUCUUAUUUAGUUCAACUUUCAAAAUUUGAUGUACUAAAGCCUAUUGAUUAUUUUCUAAACUUUUUUUGGGACGAACCACACAUAUUUGAUGCUCAUAAGUAAAAUUAUUGAGGCAGUUCACCACCACACGAAGCGCGGGCCAUAGUUAUAGUAUAAUAUUGCAUCUUGCUUCCGUAUUUUAGCUAGCUGAUCCACUAAUCUUGUUGUGUUUCACUUUCCUGUAGGUAUAUUCAAUCAAAAGGGUCUCUAAUGUGGCUGAGCAUGAACCCGUAAAUCGUAAACAUGUUAUAAUAAAUUACCUCUUUUGAAUCUAUGAAAAAUGUCCAAUGGCUUGAAUACAAAAUUAGUGGCAAUUUUGAGACCAUUAAAAAGAGCCAGUAAUCUGAGAAAGGUGUUCGUUGCAUGAGGGAUGCAUGUUUCCUUUUAAACCCCAUGAGCAAUCUUCUUUGAAUAACCAAUAUUUACAAUCUGUAAGUUAGCUUGCAUGCACAGAUUUAAAAUAUGACAUAGUUGGUUCUGUUUUUCUGAAAGAUAUGCACAUUCUCAUAACAAUCAAAGCAUUUAUGAUGCUAAUUAAACAAAAAUUAAUCAGCCAUCCUACUUAUAACCAUAUGAAAAUAUGAUGGAAACAAUGACACCUCAAUCUCAAGAAAAUUACAAUCGGCUAUAUAAAUCCUCACUGACAUCUACAUCUCAGCUUUCCUCUAGUCAUAUCCCUUUUGAUUUUAUCACUCAAAUCAACUCUUACAUUUUAGAGCUGAAUUCCACUCUUACUUCGAGAAAACAACUUUCCAAAACCGUUUCUACUUUUAGAAGUUGUCACUUGAGUAGCUGAUGAAGUAGAUGAUGAUGACGAAGAAGAGGAUGAUUCUCCUUCAUUUCCGUUCAUAGAAUGACUAGAAUUCUCAAUCUUUGGAGAAUCUGAAUUGCUUUUUCGGGAAAAUGUCUCGUUUACAUGUAACUUCCAUUCCUCUCCACUAGCUCCAGCCACAACUGAUCCUUCCCCAGAAAAUCCAGGAAGAUUUGCUGUGUCUAUCAAGAAAUCUUCUAAAGUGGCUAGUGAUUGAAGCUGUUUCCCAAGGGAUGCAAUUGUUUUCUGGCAUUCUGCAAGCUUGUCAGCAGCUACAGCUAAAUCCUCCUGCAAAUAGAAAAGCUUAGAAUCUAAGAGCUUCAAAACUAGAAGUCGUAGUAUUACUUUGGUGGUUUCUUGCUAUUCCAUUUCUGUUACUAUUUGAUGUUUCUUGCACUUUAAUUAUUGUAUUCUUUGUUGUAGUGACUAUUCCUUUUUUAGUAUGCUUCGUCAUGCUUUCUUUAUUAUUUCGUCUUGUCUUCUUCUCUCUUGCUGUUUUCCUUUUUCGAACUGUUUUGUCAUGCUUUUACUUGAGCUGAUGGUCUAUCGGAAACAACCUCUCUACCUAACAAAGUAGGGAUAAGGUCUGAGUACACACUACACUCCCCAAACCCUACUUAUGGGAUUACACUAGGUAUGUUGUUGUUGUGAAGACUUUUGAACAACAGAAAAAGAAUUCGUUGAGACAAG
Long non-coding RNA from Solanum dulcamara, 3520 nucleotides. RefSeq lists it as uncharacterized. NCBI's taxonomy places the organism in Eukaryota, Viridiplantae, Streptophyta, Magnoliopsida, Solanales, Solanaceae. The transcript has 3 exons. The record is from RefSeq and is a predicted model, not a curated record.